Molecule: long non-coding RNA, 721 nt
Filed under: Camarhynchus parvulus
Lineage: Eukaryota; Metazoa; Chordata; Aves; Passeriformes; Thraupidae
Description: lncRNA (ENSCPVG00000017887.1)
Source: RNAcentral
CCCAUUCCCAUUCCCGGUCCCCUCACCGGACGCUCCGCCCCCCGGCCCUGACGUCACCGAGCAAACCCCGCGCUCCUCCCGCCCACCAAUCCCAGCGCGCGAUCGCUCCUACAUUUGCAUAACCACGCCCAUUGAGGCUGGCCCCGCCCGCCGCCGGGCGCUGUUCGCUCCCAGUUCCCUCCCAGCGCUCCCAGUGAGAGCGGCACCGGCAGGGAAAGCGCUCCCAGUUCCCUCCCAGCGCUCCCAGUGAGAGCGGCACCGGCAGGGAAAGCGCUCCCAGUUCCCUCCCAGCUCUCCCAGUAACAGGGGCACCGGCAGGGAAAGCGCUCCCAGUUCCCUCCCAGCGCUCCCAGUAACAGCGGCACCGGCAGGGAAAGCGCUCCCAGUUCCCUCCCAGCGCUCCCAGUAACAGGGGCACCGGCAGGGAAAGCGCUCCCAGUUCCCUCCCAGCGCUCCCAGUAUCGUUCCCAGUGCAAAGAGGGAGAGAAGGAGGAGCGAGAGGAAGAGGAGGGACAGAGGAGGGAGGAAAGGAGGAGCAGGAGGGAGAGAGGGAGGAGGAGAAAGAGGAAGAGGAGGGACACAGGAGGAGGGAGACGGGACCAGGAGGAGGAACAGGAGGGACGGAGGAAGAGGAGGAACGGGAGGAAGAGCAGCAGCAUCAUUGCCCCCCGGACCCCGCGGAACAGAAGAAAGGAUUUCAUCAGAAGGCUGGAGAGGAAAC